This is a long non-coding RNA of Scleropages formosus (Asian bonytongue), 1743 nucleotides long. The record is from Ensembl. NCBI's taxonomy places the organism in Eukaryota, Metazoa, Chordata, Actinopteri, Osteoglossiformes, Osteoglossidae.
AACGAGGAGUCGAGUCAAGGGAGAAAAUAUAUUUCAAUCCAAAAUACUCGACUCGGUAAAAUGAAGAUCCACACUUUCACCGAAACCCCCACCCUAGACGCGCACGCGCGCUGGACCACGUGGUGGAGCUAGACGGGGCUGGGCGGGGCUACUGCCUCCCAAUGAUCUCUACAUAGCAAGGUGCAGAUAUCGUCAGUGUUUAUCAGCUCCAGAGGGUUUUCAGUUUGCUGGAGAGUGAAGUUCUCUAAAUGGGAACAUAAUUUUUUUUUUUUUUUUUUUUUUUACAGAUUUUCCCGUUGAAAAUAAUGAACAGAGGACACUGGGAGGAUUGGACCAAAGUGCGGGAGAGGUUAUCUGAAACAGAGGGACAGGCGAAGAGUUGGACGAUCAGCAGUCAGAAUGGGAGCAGAGAUCCAUAGACGAAGACGGAGGACGCGGCGAAUGGUCAAAAGCAAGGGGCCGAGGACCAGGGAUGACAAAGAGCAGGCCAUAAGCACAAGGAGGACAGUUAUCUCUCUGAGAUUCCACACUAGUACCAGAUUUAUACCAAGGUUGAGCUGCCAGCAGGAGGUGGGUGCUGCCCUGCCAGAGAGGGUGCAGUACCUCAUUGUGCAGAACAAAGGCCUGCAGGGGCAGCUCAGCGAGGUGAAGAGGAAACAGGCUGAGUCAGAUUGCAAGAGUAAGCAGGAGGUGAUAGCCGUACGAUUACGGGAAGCAGGCAGCAUGGCAGCUAUGGCUGAGCUGCAGCAGAAGAUAGCUGAGCUUGAGAUCCGGAAGGAGGAAGGGCAGAUCCAGGGUCAGCUGAACCACUCAGAUGCCAGCCAGUACAUCACCCAGCUGCAGGAGCGAAUCUCUGAGCUCAAGAACGAGCAAAUUAUUUCUGAAGCACAUGACAGAUUGCAACCUCCGGUGGAGGAGGACUGGGAAGAGGAGGUCAAGCAGUCAUUGCCACGCACUGAGGACUGUGAGAAUCAGUCCAAGGACUCAUCUCCUUAUGAGCCUGAGGAUGUGGUCAAGCCGGACGAUCUGAAGGAAUGCCCGGAUCAUAUGCAGUACCAGAACCUGACCCAUAUGGAGUACAUCCCUGCACUGCAUCAUGUGUCCCCAGUGAAGUGGGCCCAUUGAUCUCCUGGCCACAUCCUUCUAUCUAAUGGCCACAUCCUGUUCUCUGGAAAAUCUGCAGGAGGGGGCGACCAGCCCUGAUCUCUAUAAGCCACAGUUCCACAUGGCUCAGCUCUGAAUCAUCGAAGCCCGGCUGGUAAUCGUGACCAAAUGUGUCCGGGAGUUUUGGCUGGGCUAUUAACCGGAGCUCCAAUGUAAACUGUGGGCAGGAAGACAGUGGUACUCUGGUACAACCCUUGACCUUGUUCCACAGAUGGCACGCAAAACAAUGGAGACGUGCCUUCUCCAUCCUGCUGGGACUUGGUCCGAGCACUCCAGUGGGCUCCCUCCCAGCUUCGAGAGUGGGGAACAGGGCAGCAUGCAGGAGGUCACAUGCUCUGGAAGGCCUGAGUUGUCUGGAAUGCCAGGGUACACGGCGUGAAGACACGGUUGGUCUGCUGGACAAGCCGGCUGUUUCCUAAUCGCCCAUGUUACAGCGGACUGCUGGUGCGGAGGCCUCAGUUCCCAGGCUACAAGUAGCUUGACUGUCUUAGCCUGGGUUGUAUUUUUGUUUUGUAAAAUUUUUGAAAACGAUUGAACUCCUGGUUAAUAAAAGAGUUCAGAGGGCAGUGAAAUGCUGCA